UACGUAGGGACCAAGCGUUGUUCGGAUUUACUGGGCGUAAAGGGCGCGUGGGCGGCUUGACAAGUCACUUGUGAAAUCUCCGGGCUUAACUCGGAACGGCCAAGUGAAACUGUCAUGCUAGAGUGCAGAAGGGGCAAUCGGAAUUCUUGGUGUAGCGGUGAAAUGCGUAGAUAUCAAGAGGAACACCUGAGGUGAAGACGGGUUGCUGGGCUGACACUGACGCUGAGGCGCGAAAGCCAGGGGAGCAAACGGG
This 253-nucleotide ribosomal RNA is filed under the name uncultured bacterium. RNAcentral's name for it is "partial 16S ribosomal RNA". It matches the Rfam family "Bacterial small subunit ribosomal RNA", at positions 524 to 776 of the family's 1533-position model. The record is from RNAcentral.